GACGAACGCUGGCGGCGUGCUUAACACAUGCAAGUCGAGCGGAGCGGCGAACGGGUGAGUAACGCUUGAGUAACUGCCCCCCUCUCUGGGUUAACAGUUGGAAACGGCUGCUAAUACCGGAUAGUGGGAGAUGACUCGCGUCCUAUCAGCUUGUUGGUGGGGUAGUGGCCUACCAAGGGGACGACGGGUAGCCGGCCUGGGUGGGGGACCGGCCACAAUGGGCUGAGAUGCGGCCCAAACGCCUACGGGAGGCAGCAGGGGGGAAUAUUGCACAAUGAGGAAAACCCUGAUGCAGCAACGCGCGUGCGGGAUGACGGCUUUCGGGUGGUAAACCGCUUUAAGCCAUGACGCGGUAGUGGCAGAAGAAGCACCGGCUAACUACGUGCCAGCCGCCGCGGUAAUUC
RNAcentral lists this ribosomal RNA (404 nucleotides) under uncultured bacterium. RNAcentral describes it as "partial 16S ribosomal RNA". It matches the Rfam family "Bacterial small subunit ribosomal RNA", at positions 28 to 526 of the family's 1533-position model. The record is from RNAcentral.